RNAcentral lists this signal recognition particle RNA (266 nucleotides) under Anoxybacillus andreesenii. RNAcentral describes it as "Robertmurraya andreesenii large signal recognition particle RNA". It matches the Rfam family "Bacterial large signal recognition particle RNA". From Rfam's summary of the family: The signal recognition particle (SRP) is a universally conserved ribonucleoprotein involved in the co-translational targeting of proteins to membranes. Lineage: Bacteria; Bacillati; Bacillota; Bacilli; Caryophanales; Anoxybacillaceae. The record is from RNAcentral.
CCGUGCUAGGUGGGGAGGUAGCGGUGCCCUGUAACUUGCAAUCCGCUCUAGCAAGACUGAACUCCUUUCCUAGGCUGAUGUCCUGUAGGGUCUGCCUUAGGUAAGUGGUGUUGACGCUCGGGUCCUGCGCAAUGGGAAUCCAUGAACCAUGUCAGGUCCGGAAGGAAGCAGCAUUAAGUGGACACUCCCAUGUGCCGCAGGGUUGCCUGAGCCGAGCUAACUGCCUAAGUAACGCUUAUGGGCGUCAGUCGAAGAAAGGUGCACGG